AUUUAAAAAAAAACAAAACAACUUUUAAGUGAGUCAACAUGGAAAGAAUGGUGGAGCUGCACAGACUGCUAGUUCUUAGAUUCCCAAAUACAUUUUGAUCUGGUUUGGGUUCCAUCCAAGCACUGACAACCACAAUGCAUCAUGGUGCUCCUCUCCAGAUGAAAAAACAGAGACCCAAGAAAAUGAGACCCAGUAAGCAUCAGAGAAACAGGGUGACCCCAGAGCCAGUUCUCCUUCCACUGGAGCACACCGCCUGACUUGAAAUCUAGCAUUUCUGAGAGCUACACCAGGCUGCCUUCUCCCAAGCACUCCAUUUUGGCACAUUCAUUCUUCACCCCAUGCCCCUUAAAUGCCAGGCUCUGGCAAGAUCUGAGACAUGCAAAUUGCAAGCGGGUAAAUAGCAACUUUGCAUAAUUUGAAUGGGAGAGAGCAACCAGACUCCACUUGGGUUCCCUGGGAAAUCGGAGAUCCUGCAGAGGAGGGAGAAGCUGAGAGUCUUAAGUGCUUUCGUCAAAGGGUUUAUUAUGCUUAUUAAAUCUAUUCUAUAUUGAUGAA
This is a long non-coding RNA of Antechinus flavipes (yellow-footed antechinus), 555 nucleotides long. RefSeq lists it as uncharacterized. NCBI's taxonomy places the organism in Eukaryota, Metazoa, Chordata, Mammalia, Dasyuromorphia, Dasyuridae. The transcript is spliced from 4 exons. The record is from RefSeq and is a predicted model, not a curated record.